UGUACGUUUCACUGCAUUAUACAGCGUAAGCCACCGUCACUCAGUUCAGUCCCUGUAUCUGAACCGAAACUCCCGCCUCUGAGAUGGCAACUUCCUCUUUAUCAACAGUUCAGUCCUCAAUUAAUCACAAGCCACUUCGAUUAUCACCACAACGAGUCUCACCUAAACUCGAUUUUAUUAGAAUUCCACAAAAUCACAAAAUCUACUGCGGCUACUCUUGCUUCGAGGUUAAGGAUGUUAGCUAUAGGCCUCCAGGGACUGAGCUUAAUCUCCUAAAUAAAGUUACCUUUUCGCUUCCAGAGAGAAGUUUUGGCUUGAUUUUUGGUCAAAGUGGGAGUGGAAAAACUACUCUUUUGCAGCUUCUUUCCGGAAUAAGCAAACCAACGUCAGGUUCGAUUUGUGUUCAAAGAUAUGGGAAUGAUGGAAAUCCAAACCAAUUGCCUGAACAGCUAUCUCCUGAAAAAGUUGGUAUUGUCUUUCAAUUUCCCGAGAGGUACUUUGUGGCUGACACUAUUGCUGAUGAAGUUACAUUUGGGUGGCCAAGGCGAAAGAGCAGCGUUCAAUUAAGGGAGCAUCUUGCUUUGAAUCUGCAAAGAGCUGUAAAUUGGGUUGGAUUGAAUGGGAUCUCAUUGGAUAAAGAUCCUCACUCGCUAAGUGGUGGAUAUAAACGUCGGCUUGCCCUGGCUAUUCAAUUGGUUGAAGUCCCUGAUCUGUUGAUAUUGGAUGAGCCUCUUGCUGGUCUAGAUUGGAAGGCACGUGCAGAUGUUGUAAAGCUUUUGAAGCACUUGAAGAAGGAAUUGACUAUCCUUGUUGUCAGUCAUGAUCUCAAAGAGUUAGCAGCUCUAGUUGAUCAUUCCUGGAGGAUGGAAAUGGGCGGAUUUCUGAGGGAAGAGCUUCUUCCAGUGUAACCUUGGAGUGGACUAUUGCCUACCUUACCACAUGUUAUGCUAUGAGUAUUCCCCGUUUGCUCUUGAAUUACUGCAACUAUGACCAUAAUAAGGCAGUUUCAAGUUGUUCACAUGGCUUUGGACUUGGAUCCAGGAAGAAACUUUCGUUUGUCUUUAACCUGGUGCAUCAGAAACAGAAUUGGAAGCUUCAUCACCAGCAGAAGGGGUAGGGUUUCCUGAAGUAGAUUGAAACUAUGUGAGUAUCUUCUUGAUGAAGUAUUUGGCAGAUUUAUGUGCUUUCUUGGCUUGCAUCUCCCCUUUCACUUCAUUUUCUGAAGGAAUUUCAUCCGUAACUUUUGUUGUACGAAAUAUCUCUUCAAGAGAAACCUUUUCCUUCUUUGCUCCAAAUCUUGUUUCUGGAUGUUCAAUUGAUGACCCAAAUAGGUAUCCUUGGAGUGGACAUGCUACUGUCUUUCCAAAAUCUUCAGCAUUGGUUGCUUGCAUUUGCAUGCCGCUGAGUGUAAUGGUGCUAACGUAACUUCUCCUUGCUAUUGAGUCAUUACAACCUUCUUCUUCAGCCUCUAGAAACUUUACUAACUCAUUGUUCACAAGCUUCAAGUCAUUCUCUGUCACCUUCAUUUUUUCCUCUGUCAUGUUCUCCAAAGAUACGGGAAAUGUUGGUGUUGCAGGCUCACUGGUAGUUGGUUCUGAACCAAGGGUUCCAAUAGCAAGAAAGCCAUGAAAAAGAUCAGAGCUAAUGAUAGAUGCUUCAUCUCUGUUGUUCCCACCCACUCCUUCAUUUUCAGAGAAAGUGUUCUCACAUUCCUCAUUUGGCUGUUUGAAGAGCCUGGAUCCAUAUCUGGAGUCAAAGCUUGGCCUAGUGUAGGAGAGAUGGUCAUCGAUACCCGUCUGUGCUGAAAGGCAAGUGCAAUAGUUCCCUGAAACAUGGAAAAAGAAAAGGAUAAUUUAUUCAAGUGUUUAAGUAUGAUGUAUUACUAUCCCUCUUAUCACAUUUUGCAUGGACCAACUAGUGGCUGAACAUCUUCAGAUUUGUGAACAUAGUGGUUCAGAGGUUAUUUGUAUCAGAUUUGUGAACAUAGUGGUUCAGAGGUUAUUUGUAUGA
Molecule: RNA transcript, 2010 nt
Organism: Populus nigra (black poplar)
Lineage: Eukaryota; Viridiplantae; Streptophyta; Magnoliopsida; Malpighiales; Salicaceae
Gene name: ABC transporter I family member 11, chloroplastic
Exons: 11
Source: RefSeq, a predicted model, not a curated record